This 383-nucleotide ribosomal RNA is filed under the name Eukaryota sp. RNAcentral's name for it is "partial small subunit ribosomal RNA". It matches the Rfam family "Eukaryotic small subunit ribosomal RNA", at positions 583 to 975 of the family's 1831-position model. The record is from RNAcentral.
UUCCAGCUCCAAUAGCGUAUAUUAAAGUUGUUGCAGUUAAAAAGCUCGUAGUUGGAUUUUGGACAUCGGCCGCCGGUCCGCCGCAAGGUGAGUACUAGUGGGUAGUGUCUUCCGGCUGAAGGCUUUGUGUGCUCUUUGAGUGUGCAUAGAAUUCAGCCAAUUUACUUUGAAAAAAUUAGAGUGUUCAAAGCAGGCCUUUGGCUUGAAUACAUUAGCAUGGAAUAACAGAAUAGGACUUUGGCUCUAUUUUGUUGGUUUCUAGGACCGAAGUAAUGAUUAAUAGGGAUAGUUGGGGGCAUUAAUAUUUAAUUGUCAGAGGUGAAAUUCUUUGAUUUAUGAAAGAUUAACUUCUGCGAAAGCAUUUGCCAAGGAUGUUUUCAUUA